RNAcentral lists this ribosomal RNA (780 nucleotides) under uncultured bacterium. RNAcentral's name for it is "bacterial SSU rRNA". It matches the Rfam family "Bacterial small subunit ribosomal RNA", at positions 75 to 847 of the family's 1533-position model. The record is from RNAcentral.
CGUAGCAAUACGGGGGAAGCGGCAAACGGGGUAGGAAGGAUUGGUGACGUGCCCUUCGGACGGGGAUAGCCAUGGGAAACUAUGGGUAAUACUCGAUGGUCUCCUGGGUUUGAAUGCUCGGGUGAAAAGGUGUGAUUCCACCGGGGGAGCGGCCAAUCUGACAUCAGCUAGUUGGUAAGGUAACGGCUUACCAAGGCUUUGACGUCUAGGGGGUGUGAGAGCAUGGCCCCCACCACUGGGACUGAGAUACUGCCCAGACACCUACGGGUGGCUGCAGUCGAGAAUCUUCGGCAAUGGGCGAAAGCCUGACCGAGCGACGCCGCGUGCGGGAUGAAGGCCUUCGGGUUGUAAACCGCUGUCAGAGGGGAUGAAGUGCUGAGUGGUAAUUCAUAAUCCAUUCGGUUUGACAGAGCCUCAGAGGAAGCACGGGCUAAGUAUGUGCCAGCAGCCGCGGUAAUACAUACUGUGCGAACGUUAUUCGGAUUUACUGGGCUUAAAGGGUGCGUAGGCGGCUUGUUAAGUAGGAUGUGAAAGCCCUCAGCUCAACUGGGGAACUGCAUUCUAUACUGGCGAGCUAGAGUGGGAUAGGGGUGUGUGGAACUGCCAGUGGAGCGGUGAAAUGUGUUGAUAUUGGCAGGAACGCCGGUGGCGAAAGCGACACACUGGGUCUCGACUGACGCUGAGGCACGAAAGCCAGGGGAGCGAACGGGAUUAGAUACCCCGGUAGUCCUGGCCGUAAACGCUGAGUACUCGUUUGGAGCGACUGCGGUCGCUGCAGAC